RNAcentral lists this ribosomal RNA (466 nucleotides) under uncultured Acidobacteriaceae bacterium. RNAcentral describes it as "bacterial SSU rRNA". It matches the Rfam family "Bacterial small subunit ribosomal RNA", at positions 8 to 491 of the family's 1533-position model. The record is from RNAcentral. Lineage: Bacteria; Pseudomonadati; Acidobacteriota; Terriglobia; Terriglobales; Acidobacteriaceae.
AGAGUUUGAUCAUGGCUCAGAAUCAACGCUGGCGGCGUGCCUAACACAUGCAAGUCGAACGCGAAAGCCCGCAAGGGUAAGUAGAGUGGCGCACGGGUGAGUAACACGUGGACAACCUGCCUUCGAGUGGGGAAUAACCUUCCGAAAGGGGGGCUAAUACCGCAUAAAACCUCGGAACACAAGUUCUGGGGUUGAAAAGAGCAAUUUGCUCGAAGAGGGGUCCGCGCCUGAUUAGCUAGUUGGUGAGGUAACGGCUCACCAAGGCUUCGAUCAGUAGCCGUCCUGAGAGGGAGCACGGCCACACUGGAACUGAGACACGGUCCAGACUCCUACGGGAGGCAGCAGUGGGGAAUUUUUGGCAAUGGGCGAAAGCCUGACCAAGCAACGCCGCGUGGGUGAUGAAGUAUCUUGGUACGUAAAACCCUUUCGGCAGGGACGAACCUAAUGACGGUACCUGCGAAGAAGA